This 511-nucleotide ribosomal RNA is filed under the name Bacillus cereus. Its description in RNAcentral is "bacterial LSU rRNA". It matches the Rfam family "Bacterial large subunit ribosomal RNA", at positions 2419 to 2925 of the family's 2925-position model. The record is from RNAcentral. Lineage: Bacteria; Bacillati; Bacillota; Bacilli; Caryophanales; Bacillaceae.
UCCGGUGGUUCCGCAUGGAAGGGCCAUCGCUCAACGGAUAAAAGCUACCCCGGGGAUAACAGGCUUAUCUCCCCCAAGAGUCCACAUCGACGGGGAGGUUUGGCACCUCGAUGUCGGCUCAUCGCAUCCUGGGGCUGUAGUCGGUCCCAAGGGUUGGGCUGUUCGCCCAUUAAAGCGGUACGCGAGCUGGGUUCAGAACGUCGUGAGACAGUUCGGUCCCUAUCCGUCGUGGGCGUAGGAAAUUUGAGAGGAGCUGUCCUUAGUACGAGAGGACCGGGAUGGACGCACCGCUGGUGUACCAGUUGUUCUGCCAAGGGCAUAGCUGGGUAGCUAUGUGCGGAAGGGAUAAGUGCUGAAAGCAUCUAAGCAUGAAGCCCCCCUCAAGAUGAGAUUUCCCAUAGCGUAAGCUAGUAAGAUCCCUGAAAGAUGAUCAGGUUGAUAGGUUCGAGGUGGAAGCAUGGUGACAUGUGGAGCUGACGAAUACUAAUAGAUCGAGGACUUAACCAUAUAA